GCCUGGCAUAGUGGUUUGAAUGUUGGAUUAGGACUCUGGAGACCAGGGUUCAAUUCCCUGUUCAGCCA
Molecule: transfer RNA, 68 nt
Filed under: Phrynosoma platyrhinos (Desert horned lizard)
Lineage: Eukaryota; Metazoa; Chordata; Lepidosauria; Squamata; Phrynosomatidae
Description: tRNA-OTHER
Rfam family: tRNA
About the family: Transfer RNA (tRNA) molecules are approximately 80 nucleotides in length.
Source: RNAcentral